AAGAAGAGAGCAGAGAGAAAAGAGGCAUAGAAGAGGAGAAAGGAGAAGAACUGUGAGCUCUGGAAAUAAGAGAGAAGAAGGAAAAGACCAUCAAGAUCAACAAAAGCGAAAGAAGAGAGCAGAGAGAAAAGAGGAAUAUAAGAGGCGAAAGCAGGAGAUGUGUGAGCUCUGGAAAGAAGAGAGAAGAAAGAAAAGACCGGUUGCAAGAUUGUUGGGGUAGGAUAAAGAAGUGGAGAGAUUGAAGAAUUUGGUCGAAGAGGUUACUGGGUUUUGGAAGAGAUGUGUGUUUGAUUUGGGUAUAUGUUUGGUAAAAUCUCCUGGCAGCCACAAGUGAUUAUACUCUUAUUGUAGUUGCAAAAUAAUAACUGAAGCUCUCAACUCUCUCUCUCUAAUGCCUCAUGUUCUCAACCUCGCUCCUCGCAGCUCAGUUCUCUGAGUUUUUUUUUUUUUUUGGUGAACAAUAUGAGCAACUAUUAUUGUUAAAGAUCGGAGCAACUAAUUAUUUCUGUAAUCAGAGGUUCAUGGGAUGGCUUAGUUUUUGGUUGGAUUUAUUGUAUGCAGAUUAGGUAGCAUUUGAGCUGUUGUCAAUUGUCAAGCUGCUGUUGACAUUCCAAUCAUCUUUCUCAGAAUUUAUGCAAAAGAGUCUAAACAUCAUUGGGCUGCCACUAUUCCUUGGUCUCUACUGUUUCACGUUGUCUGCAUCUUUCAUUCUUAUUCAGAGCUUUGGGACAGUGUGCACUCAGUUAUGGCAUCAGAUAUCAGGCACAGAAGAGGAAAAAGAUUGCUAGAACAAAAUUGUUCUAUAUAUAAAGGGUGAAUAACACUGUUACACUAUUGCUAAGAAGCGAAAAACCUGUUUGUCCUCACUGUUCAAGGAGAAUAUCAGGUUGGCGGAAAAGUCGUUUUUGUCCUUCCUUUUGUCAGCGUUGGACAGGUAUAACGAUCGGGUCAUUUUCGUCCUUGCAUUUCUCAGUCUUGGAUAACGAUCGGGCUGCGAUUCAGUGGCUUACAAACAAUUUCAGUUCUGUCCAGGCGAAAGAAGAGAGAGGAGAAGAUCUAUUGCAAGAAAGAGGAAAGGAGGAGAUCUAUCGGGUCUGCAAAGAGGGAUAGAAGAGAGGAAAAGAGAAGAUCUAUUGGGUCUGGGAUCGAAAAAAGCGAAAAAAGAGAGUGGAAAGAAAAAACCGGUUGCAAAGAAUUUUAUCAUCAGAUACUUCCCAAGGCUUUAGCACAUUUCUUUCAAUCGAAGUUUCUGGUCAUAACUUGGUCAGGGCUUAGAAUUUAGGAACAGUUUGCAGGCAGAUUCUUCAGUUGUCUUGCAUUGAGGUCUGCUGUAGGAAAACUGAGGCAACGAUUAGGGAUUCCGCAGACAUUGAAUCGACAUCACGGUUGACUGCAGGUUGACAUUCACGUUCCAGUCCAGUUGCAAACCAGAGUUUCUUUAUUGACAGAACCGUAUCAAUUGAAAGGUUUAAAACGGAACAGCAGCUAAACUGUCAAACGUCUAGAGUUUAAAAUCAAGGAGAGAGAGAGAGAUAACUGAUAUUCAGAAAAGGAGAUACUGACAUCAUCUCAGUACGAGGUAUUUUGAUCCAUUUCAAUUCGAUCACUUAUCAAGAACGAUCCACACAGAAAUAGAGAGAUUUGCUGUGAUUGUUUGCUUUGCUUUGCACAAAGACAGAGAGAGAGAGAGAUAGCUGAUAUUCACAAAAGGAGAUUGUCACCUCAUCAUCUGAGUAUGAGCACACCAGAGGAUCACAGGAUGAUUGUUAUUGAUAUUCGAAUUAGAACAAAUCUCCUGAACAGAAAAUGAACCAAGUAUGAUGGUAGGGUUCGUAUAAGUUCAGAUUCGAUGAGUAAAAUAGAGGCAGAACUUGAACCUGAAUUUCAAAGGUUAGGGCUAAACAAGAAUACUUCUACUUUGGAGAGAAGAUUAACUGAUCUUGAUGAGUUUGACGAAUUGGUAGAGCUGGAGUGAUCUGAUUGCCAAUAUAUGAAAUUAACAAUGAGUCCAAGCUGCUAUCAUCACAGUUGAAGGGGGUUAUACCCUGGUGGAGAUCUUCCCUUCCUGUCCAAGACCAUGAGUUGUUAAGAAUGAAGAUCUAUUAAGAGUUUUGGUGAAAAUUGAGAGCUUCGAAGCCAUUCACAAACAGGAAAAAAUCAUUGAAGCUUUCUAUGGAGUCAUGAUUGCUCGGAUUGAUCUUGGAGUUGAAAUCCCACUCAAACAGAUUCCAAUGGUCCAAGAGAAAAUAAUUCAAGUGUGUGGGCAGCUAAACAAUCAAGUAUUUGUAGCUUCUCAACUACUUGAAUCAAUGAUUGAAUACCCAACCCCAACACACGUUGAGGAAAGGAUAUUUCUUCCUUGCCUUGGUGGUGAAUUGGACAGUGAGUGUGAUGAACCAGUUUCAAUGAAACUGUCUACACACAAUCAAGAAGAGCUACUAGAUUGCAAAACACUAUAAGAGGUUUUAAAGAGCUUGGAAAAGAAGGUGCCUAACUUGAAAAUUUUCACCUAUGAACGAUUGGAUCGAUUGAAAAGAGUGAGAAUGUGACACAGAAUGCGUUUAGAAGUGAUGCAGAAUACUUAACCUGUGAAUGUUCUUUUCUGAUUUUGGGUUGGUUUCUUAUUUGAAUCCUUUUCGUUUGAUUUUUGUUGGUUGUUAGUUCAGUUAGGAAAAAAGCAAUUUACAAUUGUUAUAUGACUAGAAUGCAUUUAUACUACCCGAGGCAAAGUGCAGUAUCGCAAGGUUUGUUUAUCUCAGAUAUACUGCAUGUAUGUCAACAAUGGAAACUUGGAGCAGUAACUUCAUGGAGGUAUCUGUCACCAUGGGUAUCUCUAUUUGCCUUUGAUGCCAACGUGUUCUUCUUAUUCAACGAGUCACAAGAUAUACUUUUUCGCAUUCUUGCUUAUUUACACAACGCCAUUGCACCAAAGUUGAUACAUCGAGACAUUAAGCGGAGGCUUCUUCUUAGCUGCAAAGUACUUUGUAAAGGAAUAUCCAUUUGCGGAAGAGAGAGCAGUUACUGACUUUAGUUUGCCAAAUCAAGUCUGACUGAUAAGAAAAUUGAAUUCAAGAGGGAGUUCCGAGUCACCUCCAGGUGAGGUACUGCUAAUGUCGCUGGAUGCAAUUGUUGCACGGCUAAAACAGAAAGCUGAUUGUCUAGAGGGAUACAUAUUCUAUCACAGAACAAUGUGGUAAUGGAAAUCAAAGGCUUGGAGGAAUCAGAUGAUAUUGAAGUACUUUCUAGAGCAAUUCAAUUGGGAACAAUUUGUGUCUCUUCACAAAAAUACUACUGCAAUUGAUGUAAUAUAUGGUAUUUUAUCAGUUUGAUCAAUAAUAAAGUCAUUUUCAAUUA
Molecule: long non-coding RNA, 3354 nt
Organism: Rosa chinensis
Lineage: Eukaryota; Viridiplantae; Streptophyta; Magnoliopsida; Rosales; Rosaceae
Exons: 19
Source: RefSeq, a predicted model, not a curated record